CAAAACCAAAAGAUGGAGAAUCUGACAAUUUUGCUAAAUGAGCAGAAGCUGCUGAGAAUUGUGCUGAGAAGAAGUGAAAAGGCUGAAAAUUUUGCAGAAAAGAGGUGAAUCAGCAGAAUUUCUGCAGAAAAGAGGUAAAGAAGCAAUAAGUUGCGCUGAAAAGAGAUGAAUCAGCAGAAUUUCUCCUCAAAGGCGGCUAUUCAUUUCCCUGAGCCAAAGUCAUUCUUACAAAGAAGAGGUGGAGAGACGGACAAUUCUGCUGAAAUGAGCAGAAGCUGCUGAGGAUUGUGCUGAUAAGAGGUGAAAAGGCUGAAACUUUUGCAGAAAAGAGGUGAAUCAGCAGAAUUUCUGCAGAAAAGAGGCAAAGAAGCAGAAACUUGCGCUGAAAAGAGAUGAAUCAGCAGAGUUUCUGCUCAAAAGAUUUGUCAUUUUUCUGAAUACAGCCAAAAAAGCUGGAAUUUGUGCUGAAAAGGGGUGAAAAAAAUGAAAAUUUUGCUGAAAAGGGGUGAAGAAGCUGAAGAAG
Molecule: long non-coding RNA, 523 nt
Organism: Oreochromis aureus
Lineage: Eukaryota; Metazoa; Chordata; Actinopteri; Cichliformes; Cichlidae
Source: Ensembl